GGCAGGCGUGGUGGUGUACACCUGUAAUCCCAGUGGCUCUGGAGGCUGAGGCAGGAGAAUUGCGAGUUCAAAGUUAGCCUCAGCAAAAGCGAAGUACUAAGCAACUCAGUGAGACCCUGCCUCUA
Molecule: small RNA, 125 nt
Filed under: Marmota monax (woodchuck)
Lineage: Eukaryota; Metazoa; Chordata; Mammalia; Rodentia; Sciuridae
Source: RNAcentral